UUGCUUGCAGCAAGGCAAUGUUAUUGUAAUUCAUGGAUGAUAAUUGUGGAGGAAAUGAAAGAGCAGGCCAUUUGUCAUAAAAUCUUCACUCGAACAAACUUUGUCCUUUACAUGAAUUUCAAUUGUCGUAGGCUUCCCCAUGGGUUCCUCAACUAAGGUCAUCUCAUCGAGCAAAUGCUCGGCUACUACUUGGGGGGAAAGAAUGCCAACACAUACCUUAAGGAUAAGAGAAACUAACAUUUUAUGAUGGGGGUAUGUCACGUUGUCCAUAAAUAUCAUUGUACAGGAUUCAAGUGAUUUGUGCUUGAGGAACACUCAUUGAAGGCUGCAUUGGCAUGUAACUGGGUUUUUAGAUGAUUUUGAAAUUAAUGAUGAUGAUAUGCAUGCAUGCUUGCCUGAGAUGAUUUUGAUAUGAUAGUUAUUCUUAUUUCUUGACAAUAUACUAAUGAUGUUUUCUUGUUUUGAUAUUAAUAAUGAUGUAGAUGCUUAUCUUGAGUUGAAAUUCAUGUAUAGAUUUAGGGUGGAUAAUAAUAAACGGAAGGUUAGGAAUUCCUAAA
Impatiens glandulifera is the source of this 557-nucleotide long non-coding RNA. RefSeq lists it as uncharacterized. NCBI's taxonomy places the organism in Eukaryota, Viridiplantae, Streptophyta, Magnoliopsida, Ericales, Balsaminaceae. The transcript has 2 exons. The record is from RefSeq and is a predicted model, not a curated record.